RNAcentral lists this ribosomal RNA (610 nucleotides) under Halomonas sp. MP_BL_7. Its description in RNAcentral is "bacterial SSU rRNA". It matches the Rfam family "Bacterial small subunit ribosomal RNA", at positions 724 to 1333 of the family's 1533-position model. The record is from RNAcentral. Lineage: Bacteria; Pseudomonadati; Pseudomonadota; Gammaproteobacteria; Oceanospirillales; Halomonadaceae.
GCCUUCUGGACUGACACUGACACUGAGGUGCGAAAGCGUGGGUASCWAACAGGAUUAGAUACCCUGGUAGUCCACGCCGUAAACGAUGUCGACCAGCCGUUGGGUGSCUAGAGCACUUUGUGGCGAAGUUAACGCGAUAAGUCGACCGCCUGGGGAGUACGGCCGCAAGGUUAAAACUCAAAUGAAUUGACGGGGGCCCGCACAAGCGGUGGAGCAUGUGGUUUAAUUCGAUGCAACGCGAAGAACCUUACCUACCCUUGACAUCUACAGAAGCCGGAAGAGAUUCUGGUGUGCCUUCGGGAACUGUAAGACAGGUGCUGCAUGGCUGUCGUCAGCUCGUGUUGUGAAAUGUUGGGUUAAGUCCCGUAACGAGCGCAACCCUUGUSCUUAUUUGCCAGCGAGUAAUGUCGGGAACUCUAAGGAGACUGCCGGUGACAAACCGGAGGAAGGUGGGGACGACGUCWAGUCAUCAUGGCCCUUACGGGUAGGGCUACACACGUGCUACAAUGGCCGGURCAAAGGGCUGCGAGCUCGCGAGAGUCAGCGAAUCCCUUAAAGCCGGUCUCWGUCCGGAUCGGAGUCUGCAACUCKACUCCGUGAAGUCKGAAUC